UCCUGACUGACCGAUAGUGAACCAGUACCGUGAGGGAAAGGCGAAAAGAACCCCGGCGAGGGGAGUGAAAAAGAACCUGAAACCGUGUACGUACAAGCAGUGGGAGCACGCUUAGGCGUGUGACUGCGUACCUUUUGUAUAAUGGGUCAGCGACUUAUAUUCUGUAGCAAGGUUAACCGAAUAGGGGAGCCGAAGGGAAACCGAGUCUUAACUGGGCGUUAAGUUGCAGGGUAUAGACCCGAAACCCGGUGAUCUAGCCAUGGGCAGGUUGAAGGUUGGGUAACACUAACUGGAGGACCGAACCGACUAAUGUUGAAAAAUUAGCGGAUGACUUGUGGCUGGGGGUGAAAGGCCAAUCAAACCGGGAGAUAGCUGGUUCUCCCCGAAAGCUAUUUAGGUAGCGCCUCGUGAAUUCAUCUCCGGGGGUAGAGCACUGUUUCGGCAAGGGGGUCAUCCCGACUUACCGACCCGAUGCAAACUGCGAAUACCGGAGAAUGUUAUCACGGGAGACACACGGCGGGUGCUAACGUCCGUCGUGAAGAGGGAAACAACCCAGACCGCCAGCUAAGGUCCCAAAGUCAUGGUUAAGUGGGAAACGAUGUGGGAAGGCCCAGACAGCCAGGAUGUUGGCUUAGAAGCAGCCAUCAUUUAAAGAAAGCGUAAUAGCUCACUGGUCGAGUCGGCCUGCGCGGAAGAUGUAACGGGGCUAAACCAUGCACCGAAGCUGCGGCAGCGACGCUUAUGCGUUGUUGGGUAGGGGAGCGUUCUGUAAGCCUGCGAAGGUGUGCUGUGAGGCAUGCUGGAGGUAUCAGAAGUGCGAAUGCUGACAUAAGUAACGAUAAAGCGGGUGAAAAGCCCGCUCGCCGGAAGACCAAGGGUUCCUGUCCAACGUUAAUCGGGGCAGGGUGAGUCGACCCCUAAGGCGAGGCCGAAAGGCGUAGUCGAUGGGAAACAGGUUAAUAUUCCUGUACUUGGUGUUACUGCGAAGGGGGGACGGAGAAGGCUAUGUUGGCCGGGCGACGGUUGUCCCGGUUUAAGCGUGUAGGCUGGUUUUCCAGGCAAAUCCGGAAAAUCAAGGCUGAGGCGUGAUGACGAGGCACUACGGUGCUGAAGCAACAAAUGCCCUGCUUCCAGGAAAAGCCUCUAAGCAUCAGGUAACAUCAAAUCGUACCCCAAACCGACACAGGUGGUCAGGUAGAGAAUACCAAGGCGCUUGAGAGAACUCGGGUGAAGGAACUAGGCAAAAUGGUGCCGUAACUUCGGGAGAAGGCACGCUGAUAUGUAGGUGAAGUCCCUUGCGGAUGGAGCUGAAAUCAGUCGAAGAUACCAGCUGGCUGCAACUGUUUAUUAAAAACACAGCACUGUGCAAACACGAAAGUGGACGUAUACGGUGUGACGCCUGCCCGGUGCCGGAAGGUUAAUUGAUGGGGUCAGCGCAAGCGAAGCUCUUGAUCGAAGCCCCGGUAAACGGCGGCCGUAACUAUAACGGUCCUAAGGUAGCGAAAUUCCUUGUCGGGUAAGUUCCGACCUGCACGAAUGGCGUAAUGAUGGCCAGGCUGUCUCCACCCGAGACUCAGUGAAAUUGAACUCGCUGUGAAGAUGCAGUGUACCCGCGGCAAGACGGAAAGACCCCGUGAACCUUUACUAUAGCUUGACACUGAACAUUGAGCCUUGAUGUGUAGGAUAGGUGGGAGGCUUUGAAGUGUGGACGCCAGUCUGCAUGGAGCCGGCCUUGAAAUACCACCCUUUAAUGUUUGAUGUUCUAACGUGGACCCGUGAUCCGGGUUGCGGACAGUGUCUGGUGGGUAGUUUGACUGGGGCGGUCUCCUCCUAAAGAGUAACGGAGGAGCACGAAGGUUGGCUAAUCCUGGUCGGACAUCAGGAGGUUAGUGCAAUGGCAUAAGCCAGCUUGACUGCGAGCGUGACGGCGCGAGCAGGUGCGAAAGCAGGUCAUAGUGAUCCGGUGGUUCUGAAUGGAAGGGCCAUCGCUCAACGGAUAAAAGGUACUCCGGGGAUAACAGGCUGAUACCGCCCAAGAGUUCAUAUCGACGGCGGUGUUUGGCACCUCGAUGUCGGCUCAUCACAUCCUGGGGCUGAAGUAGGUCCCAAGGGUAUGGCUGUUCGCCAUUUAAAGUGGUACGCGAGCUGGGUUUAGAACGUCGUGAGACAGUUCGGUCCCUAUCUGCCGUGGGCGCUGGAGAACUGAGGGGGGCUGCUCCUAGUACGAGAGGACCGGAGUGGACGCAUCACUGGUGUUCGGGUUGUCAUGCCAAUGGCACUGCCCGGUAGC
This 2290-nucleotide ribosomal RNA is filed under the name Shigella sonnei. RNAcentral describes it as "partial 23S ribosomal RNA". It matches the Rfam family "Bacterial large subunit ribosomal RNA", at positions 474 to 2749 of the family's 2925-position model. The record is from RNAcentral. Lineage: Bacteria; Pseudomonadati; Pseudomonadota; Gammaproteobacteria; Enterobacterales; Enterobacteriaceae.